Molecule: ribosomal RNA, 517 nt
Filed under: Mesomycoplasma ovipneumoniae
Lineage: Bacteria; Bacillati; Mycoplasmatota; Mycoplasmoidales; Metamycoplasmataceae
Description: bacterial SSU rRNA
Rfam family: Bacterial small subunit ribosomal RNA
Source: RNAcentral
CGCCUGAGUAGUAUGCUCGCAAGAGUGAAACUUAAAGGAAUUGACGGGAACCCGCACAAGCGGUGGAGCAUGUGGUUUAAUUUGAAGAUACGCGUAGAACCUUACCCACUCUUGACAUCCUCGCAAAACUAUAGAGAUAUAGCGGAGGCUAACGAGAUGACAGAUGGUGCAUGGUUGUCGUCAGCUCGUGUCGUGAGAUGUUAGGUUAAGUCCUGCAACGAGCGCAACCCUUUUCUUUAGUUGCUAACAUUAAGUUGAGAACCCUAGAGAUACUGCCGGUGCAAACCGGAGGAAGGCGGGGAUGACGUCAAAUCAUCAUGCCUCUUACGAGUGGGGCAACACACGUGCUACAAUGGCUACUACAAAGAGCAGCGAAACAGUGAUGUCAAGCUAAUCUCAAAAAAGUAGUCUCAGUUCGGAUUGAAGUCUGCAACUCGACUUCAUGAAGUCGGAAUCGCUAGUAAUCGCAGGUCAGCUAUACUGCGGUGAAUACGUUCUCGGGUUUUGUACACACCGC